CUACAGGGGUUUCUAAUCCUGUUUGCUCCCCACACUUUCGCACCUCAGCGACAGUAGCGAGCCAGUGAGCCGCCUUCGCCACUGGUGUUCCUCCGAAUAUCUACGAAUUUCACCUCUACACUCGUAAUUCCACUCACCUCUCUCGAACUCAAGACCAGCAGUAUCAAAGGCAGUUCCGGGGUUGAGCCCCGGGAUUUCACCCCUGACUGACUGAUCCGCCUACGCGCGCUUUACGAUCAGUAAUUCCGAACAACGCUUGCACCCAU
This 266-nucleotide ribosomal RNA is filed under the name uncultured Rhodobacterales bacterium. Its description in RNAcentral is "partial 16S ribosomal RNA". The record is from RNAcentral. Lineage: Bacteria; Pseudomonadati; Pseudomonadota; Alphaproteobacteria; Rhodobacterales.